AGGGUUUGAUCAUGGCUCAGAACGUACGCUGGCGGCACGCCUAACACAUGCAAGUCGAACGAAGUAGCAAUACUUAGUGGCAGACGGGUGAGUAACAUGUAGGUAUCUACCCUUUGGCCUGGAAUAACACGAGGAAACUUGUGCUAAUACCGGAUAAGUCUUUACGGAGAAAGCUUUAUGCACCAUUGGAUGAGCCUGCACUUGAUUAGUUUGUUGGUGGGGUAACGGCCUACCAAGACGUUGAUCAAUAGCUGAUUUGAGAGGAUGAUCAGCCACAUUGGGACUGAGACACGGCCCAAACUCCUACGGGAGGCAGCAGUGGGGAAUCUUGCACAAUGGAGGAAACUCUGAUGCAGCGAUGCCGCGUGAGUGAAGAAGGCCUUUGGGUUGUAAAGCUCUUUCGUCGGGGAAGAAAAUGACUGUACCCGAAUAAGAAGGUCCGGCUAACUUCGUGCCAGCAGCCGCGGUAAUACGAAGGGACCUAGCGUAGUUCGGAAUUACUGGGCUUAAAGAGUUCGUAGGUGGUUGAAAAAGUUGGUGGUGAAAUCCCAGAGCUUAACUCUGGAACUGCCAUCAAAACUUUUCAGCUAGAGUUUGAUAGAGGAAAGUAGAAUUUCUAGUGUAGAGGUGAAAUUCGUAGAUAUUAGAAAGAAUACCAAUUGCGAAGGCAGCUUUCUGGAUCAUUACUGACACUGAGGAACGAAAGCAUGGGUAGCGAAGAGGAUUAGAUACCCUCGUAGUCCAUGCCGUAAACGAUGUGUGUUAGACGUUGGAAAUUUAUUUUCAGUGUCGCAGCGAAAGCGAUAAACACACCGCCUGGGGAGUACGACCGCAAGGUUAAAACUCAAAUGAAUUGACGGGGACCCGCACAAGUAGUGGAGCAUGUGGUUUAAUUCGAAGAUACGCGCAGAACCUUACCAACACUUGACAUGUUCGUCGCGACUUUAAGAGAUUAAAGUUUUCGGUUCGGCCGGACGAAACACAGGUGCUGCAUGGCUGUCGUCAGCUCGUGUCGUGAGAUGUUGGGUUAAGUCCCGCAACGAGCGCAACCCUCACUUUUAGUUGCCAUCAUUAAGUUGGGCACUCUGAAAGAACUGCCAGUGAUAAGCUGGAGGAAGGUGGGGAUGACGUCAAGUCCUCAUGGCCCUUACGUGUUGGGCUACACACGUGCUACAAUGGUAUCUACAACAGGAAGCGAGACGGCGACGUUCAGCAAAUCCUUAAAAGAUACCUCAGUUCGGAUUGCACUCUGCAACUCGAGUGCAUGAAGCUGGAAUUACUAGUAAUCGUGGAUCAGCGUGCCACGGUGAAUGCGUUCCCGGGUCUUGUACACACCGCCCGUCACACCAUGGGAGUUGGUUCUACCUUAAGGCAAGGUUUUAAACCCUUGACUACGGUAUAGUCAGCGACUGGGGUGAAGUCGUAACAAGGUAGCCGUA
RNAcentral lists this ribosomal RNA (1439 nucleotides) under uncultured bacterium. RNAcentral's name for it is "bacterial SSU rRNA". It matches the Rfam family "Bacterial small subunit ribosomal RNA". The record is from RNAcentral.